UACCCGCUGAACUUAAGCAUAUCAAUAAGCGGAGGAAAAGAAACCAACAGGGAUUGCCCCAGUAACGGCGAGUGAAGCGGCAACAGCUCAAAUUUGAAAUCUGGCCUCGGCCCGAGUUGUAAUUUGCAGAGGAAGCUUCUGGUGCGGCGCCGUCCGAGUCUCCUGGAACGGAGCGCCAUAGAGGGUGAGAGCCCCGUAUGGACGGACGCCAAACCUGUGUGAAGCUCCUUCGACGAGUCGAGUAGUUUGGGAAUGCUGCUCAAAAUGGGAGGUAAAUUCCUUCUAAAGCUAAAUAUUGGCCAGAGACCGAUAGCGCACAAGUAGAGUGAUCGAAAGAUGAAAAGCACUUUGAAAAGAGGGUUAAACAGCACGUGAAAUUGUUGAAAGGGAAGCGCUUGUGACCAGACUUGGGCGCGGCGGAUCAUCCGGUGUUCUCACCGGUGCACUCCGCCGCGCCCGGGCCAGCAUCGGCUUCCGCCGGGGGACAAAGGUCCCGGGAACGUAGCUCCUCCGGGAGUGUUAUAGCCCGGGGCGCAAUGCCCCGGCGGGGGCCGAGGACCGCGCAUUGCAAGGAUGCUGGCGUAAUGGUCAUCAGCGACCCGUCUUGAAACACGGACCAAGGAGUCAAGGUUUUGCGCGAGUGUUUGGGUGUUAAACCCGCACGCGUAAUGAAAGUGAACGUAGGUGAGAGCUUCGGCGCAUCAUCGACCGAUCCUGAUGUAUUCGGAUGGAUUUGAGUAGGAGCGUUAAGCCUUGGACCCGAAAGAUGGUGAACUAUGCUUGGAUAGGGUGAAGCCAGAGGAAACUCUGGUGGAGGCUCGCAGCGGUUCUGACGUGCAAAUCGAUCGUCAAAUCUGAGCAUGGGGGCGAAAGACUAAUCGAACCAUCUAGUAGCUGGUUACCGCCGAAGUUUCCCUCAGGAUAGCAGUGUUGAUUCUCAGUUUUAUGAGGUAAAGCGAAUGAUUAGGGACUCGGGGGCGCUUUUUAGCCUUCAUCCAUUCUCAAACUUUAAAUAUGUAAGAAGCCCUUGUUACUUAACUGAACGUGGGCAUUCGAAUGUACCAACACUAGUGGGCCAUUUUUGGUAAGCAGAACUGGCG
Molecule: ribosomal RNA, 1100 nt
Filed under: Schizothecium fimbriatum
Lineage: Eukaryota; Fungi; Ascomycota; Sordariomycetes; Sordariales; Schizotheciaceae
Description: eukaryotic LSU rRNA
Rfam family: Eukaryotic large subunit ribosomal RNA
Source: RNAcentral